UCACUUUUAGUUUAUGUUAAGAAUACUAGUUUGUCGUGCUAGAGGUGAUGUCUGCGUUAAAGUGAG
Molecule: transfer RNA, 66 nt
Filed under: Homalogaster paloniae
Lineage: Eukaryota; Metazoa; Platyhelminthes; Trematoda; Gastrodiscidae
Description: tRNA-Asp
Source: RNAcentral